GGCAACCAUGACCUUGGUCUUGGAAGGAAUGCCAUCCUCUGGAGGACCACGGCGGACACGAGGACGACGGCCCUUUUGUUCCUGGGCUUCUCCGUCGGCGUUGGUGACUUCGUUCAGGCCAGCCUGCU
This 128-nucleotide microRNA precursor is filed under the name Trichophyton rubrum BMU01672. The record is from RNAcentral. Lineage: Eukaryota; Fungi; Ascomycota; Eurotiomycetes; Onygenales; Arthrodermataceae.